CGUGAACCUUUACUAUAGCUUGACACUGAACAUUGAGCCUUGAUGUGUAGGAUAGGUGGGAGGCUUUGAAGUGUGGACGCCAGUCUGCAUGGAGCCGACUUGAAAUACCACCCUUUAAUGUUUGAUGUUCUAACGUGGACCCGUAAUCCGGGUUGCGGACAGUGUCUGGUGGGUAGUUUGACUGGGGCGGUCUCCUCCUAAAGAGUAACGGAGGAGCACGAAGGUUGGCUAAUCCUGGUCGGACAU
This 246-nucleotide ribosomal RNA is filed under the name Salmonella enterica subsp. enterica serovar Typhi. Its description in RNAcentral is "partial 23S ribosomal RNA". It matches the Rfam family "Bacterial large subunit ribosomal RNA", at positions 2092 to 2338 of the family's 2925-position model. Lineage: Bacteria; Pseudomonadati; Pseudomonadota; Gammaproteobacteria; Enterobacterales; Enterobacteriaceae. The record is from RNAcentral.